GAGAGGCUGUGGAUUCAUUCUGAGUUAAGAAAAAUCCAGUUUGAUCAAGGCAGACCACCUGAGAAAUCUCCGGUAGGAACAGAUGGUCCGGAUGUCUGAGUUCUACAAUCAGAACAGAUUCAAGACUGCUGCCUGAGACUUUAAGACAAGAAACUGUUCUUUUCUGGACUGUCUGAUGGUAUGCUGUACUAACUGGAUAUGCAGGAAACAUAAAAAAAGUUAUUGGUAAAAAUGCCUAAAGAAGUUGAGAUAGUCCUUCAGGGUUUUUGAAGAGGAAAGUGACUGACAAACUGCCACCAUAGGUGAAACUGUCUUUGAAACUUCCCGGAAAAUCUACAAGAUAUUAUGGGCCAGUAAGCUGAAGGCGGACAAUGAAGGCUGAUGAGAAGCCAAGGACAAUGGCACUAGGUUUCGAGCCUAAUACAUGAACCGGCUUUGUGGGAGCUUAGCCUGUUUAGACGCUCACCUUCCUGGACGUAGAUAGAAGACCUUCGUCUUC
Long non-coding RNA from Chionomys nivalis (European snow vole), 499 nucleotides. RefSeq lists it as uncharacterized. NCBI's taxonomy places the organism in Eukaryota, Metazoa, Chordata, Mammalia, Rodentia, Cricetidae. The record is from RefSeq and is a predicted model, not a curated record. The transcript has 3 exons.